GAUGAACGCUGGCGGCGUGCCUAAUACAUGCAAGUCGCGCGAAUGGAUUAAGAGCUUGCUCUUAUGAAGUUAGCGGCGGACGGGUGAGUAACACGUGGGUAACCUGCCCAUAAGACUGGGAUAACUCCGGGAAACCGGGGCUAAUACCGGAUAACAUUUUGAACCGCAUGGUUCGAAAUUGACAGGCGGCUUCGGCUGUGACUUAUGGAUGGACCGGCGUCGCAUUAGCUAGUUGGUGAGGUAACGGCUCACCAAGGCAACGAUGCGUAGCCGACCUGAGAGGGUGAUCGGCCACACUGGGACUGAGACACGGCCCAGACUCCUACGGGAGGCAGCAGUAGGGAAUCUUCCGCAAUGGACGAAAGUCUGACGGAGCAACGCCGCGUGAGUGAUGAAGGCUUUCGGGUCGUAAAACUCUGUUGUUAGGGAAGAACAAGUGCUAGUUGAAUAAGCUGGCACCUUGACGGUACCUAACCAGAAAGCCACGGCUAACUACGUGCCAGCAGCCGCGGUAA
Molecule: ribosomal RNA, 515 nt
Filed under: uncultured bacterium
Lineage: Bacteria
Description: partial 16S ribosomal RNA
Rfam family: Bacterial small subunit ribosomal RNA
Source: RNAcentral